Molecule: unclassified non-coding RNA, 316 nt
Filed under: uncultured fungus
Lineage: Eukaryota; Fungi
Description: sequence contains ITS1
Rfam family: 5.8S ribosomal RNA (bases 1-97)
Source: RNAcentral
UAAAGUGCGAUAUGUAGUGCGAUUUGCAUGAAUCUGUGAGUCAUCUAAUCUUUGAACGCAACUUGCGCCUCUCUGAGGCAUGUCUGUUUGAGUGCCGCAUACCUUUUGCAGCAAUGCGAUUUGACCCAUGUCUUUACCGGACUCGGUCUAAACGUAGCCAGAUAGUGGUUUAAUGUUACUAGCCCGAGUGCUAAGCAUUCUUGGUUCUAGUAGCAAAGACCAUGCCAUGAUGCCCAUGUCAUGCAUAAUGAUGUGUUGUCAUUGGCACGCCUUUUUAUUUGGCCUCAAAUCAGGCAAGACUACCCGCUGAACUUAA